Long non-coding RNA from Limulus polyphemus (Atlantic horseshoe crab), 1324 nucleotides. RefSeq lists it as uncharacterized. The transcript has 2 exons. The record is from RefSeq and is a predicted model, not a curated record. NCBI's taxonomy places the organism in Eukaryota, Metazoa, Arthropoda, Merostomata, Xiphosura, Limulidae.
UGUGAAUGUUAAUAAUACUGUUAGGGAUCUAAGAAAUGAGGGUAAGUAUUAUCUGUAGCAAAGAAACUUGUGAAUGUUAAUAAUACUGUUAGGGACCAAAGAAAUGAGGGAUAAGAAGUGGCUUAUAGACUGACUUUCCCUGAGUAGCUGUAAGACAGGCUGAACCACCUUAAUCCAUAGUGACGUUUAUUUUUAAAGCUUGCCUCUUGUGUGGACCACAAACCAGAUUCUGUUACCCGUAUUUCUUCUUGUUCUGUAGUUUUAGUCUUGUACAGAACAGUGUUCCCAGACUUCAAGAAUUUUCUGAUCUUUUAAAACUUGUAUAAAUCUGAGACAAGUUUGUAGUCUUCUCUCCAGGAAAAUAAUUUGGUUUAUUUACAAGGUUUCAGUAAAACGCCCUCCAGAAAGGUUCAGCAUCUGGUAGAUUUCAAAUGACAUCAUAGUGAUGCCACUGAUAUAACCUGUUUUUUGUAAUGAUUAAAAAAUUUCGUACAAGAAAAGCAAGUCUAUGUAACUAAUUAAAAGAAAAUCGUAAUGAAAUUUUUUAUUGAGAAUAUUUUUUGUUUGAAUUUUAAUUCGUAUCUGUACGUGGUGGUAUGUAAAGGAUAAAAUUGAUACUAAGUUUUGUGUAUCCAGUCAUUUAAGGUUGUGCACAAAAUAUAACAAAGAAAGCUCAGACAUUGAUUUGAAUAUAUCUAAUUAUUUAACUGUCUGUAGUUAAGUAGAAUCAAAUGGUACAAGUGUUAAGUUAUCUUUGUUCUUAUUUAACUGUUUGUAAUUUUUUCACGUCGGGUAAGAUAUGUUUAUAUAACUAGUUAUUUUAAUUCUUUGAAAUUGUAAACUGAAUGUAGGCAGUGAAAGAUGUAUUCCUAAUUCAAAUAGUUUGAAAAUGUAGUGUAGAUUUAAAUAGAUAUUUUUAGAAAAUUUAUAACAUUUUUUAAAGACCAUGAUACACUGAGUGUGUAUGUGUAAAAUUUUUGAAAUGUAGUAAAGAAAUACACGAACUUUACCUAUAAGAUACCCGAGUAACAUUACAUAGUAAUACCGUGUGGUAUGUAUAGAGAUCGUGACAAGUUUUUAUCAUCUUAUUUAGUUUAAUAGUCUAUAUCCUGUACAAAAUCUCGGUCACCGUUUACGUACUUGUUGUAAGUAUCUUCUUCAAAGUAACUUGCUACCAAAUCAAAACCUUUUGUUAACGUUUAGUUUUCAAAUAUGGUUUAGGAACUGAAUUAUGAAAUGCUGUAUUUUACCUUGUUGUUUAUACGAAGAAAUGUUUAAUGUAUUUCAGAACUAUUAAAAAAUUUAAGUGCUCUAAUGAAAAUUA